Pantherophis guttatus is the source of this 384-nucleotide long non-coding RNA. RefSeq lists it as uncharacterized. The record is from RefSeq and is a predicted model, not a curated record. NCBI's taxonomy places the organism in Eukaryota, Metazoa, Chordata, Lepidosauria, Squamata, Colubridae.
AACACUAUUUCACCAUGUGGUAAGCAGCUGAGCAUAUUUGAUAUGACAAAGCUUUCUUAAGUCUUGCUAAUAGCAGGAUGGCUGGAAACAUCUGAUGAAAUAGACUUUUCCAUUGUGUAGAAAUGUUCCAUAUUAAGCAAUGAACCUAACUUGUAUUUGCAAGUACAAGGAUAAAAAGGAGAGAUGAAAAGGAAAUUUUAAACUGAGGAAAAUAACCAUUCUAGAGGGAUGCCCACAACGGAACUGUGGCUCUUGUCUUUGGAAAAAUCAGAUAUUUUUGGCAUUCUGAUAUUUUGCUUGCAUAAAUCUGCUACAUUUUGGUUUGCAUGUAUUCCUUUGUUAUAAAUAUGUGCAUAAUGUACAAUAAAAUAUAAACAAAUCAAA